AUUGAACGCUGGCGGCAUGCCUUACACAUGCAAGUCGAACGGCAGCACGGGUGCUUGCACCUGGUGGCGAGUGGCGAACGGGUGAGUAAUACAUCGGAACGUACCUUAUCGUGGGGGAUAACGCAGCGAAAGCUGUGCUAAUACCGCAUACGCCCUGAGGGGGAAAGCGGGGGAUCGAAAGACCUCGCGCGAUUAGAGCGGCCGAUGCCUGAUUAGCUUGUUGGAGGGGUAAAAGCCCACCAAGGCGACGAUCAGUAGCUGGUCUGAGAGGACGAUCAGCCACACUGGGACUGGGACACGGCCCAGACUCCUACGGGAGGCAGCAGUGGGGAAUUUUGGACAAUGGGGGCAACCUUGAUCCAGCAAUGCCGCGUGAGUGAAGAAGGCCUUCGGGUUGUAAAGCUCUUUUGUCAGGGAAGAAACACCGGCUCUAACACAGUCCGGAAAUGACGGUACCUGAAGAAUAAGCACCGGCUAACUACGUGCCAGCCGCCGCCGUAA
Molecule: ribosomal RNA, 501 nt
Filed under: uncultured bacterium
Lineage: Bacteria
Description: partial 16S ribosomal RNA
Rfam family: Bacterial small subunit ribosomal RNA
Source: RNAcentral